RNAcentral lists this ribosomal RNA (420 nucleotides) under uncultured bacterium. RNAcentral's name for it is "bacterial SSU rRNA". It matches the Rfam family "Bacterial small subunit ribosomal RNA", at positions 30 to 454 of the family's 1533-position model. The record is from RNAcentral.
AUUGAACGCUGGCGGCAUGCCUUACACAUGCAAGUCGAACGGCAGCGGACCUUCGGGUGCCGGCGAGUGGCGAACGGGUGGGUAAUGCAUCGGAACGUGCCAUUGAGUGGGGGAUAACGUAGCGAAAGUUACGCUAAUACCGCAUAUUCUGUGAGCAGGAAAGCAGGGGACCGCAAGGCCUUGCGCUCUUUGAGCGGCCGAUGUCUGAUUAGCUAGUUGGUGGGGUAAAGGCCUACCAAGGCGACGAUCAGUAGCUGGUCUGAGAGGACGAUCAGCCACACUGGGACUGAGACACGGCCCAGACUCCUACGGGAGGCAGCAGUGGGGAAUUUUGGACAAUGGGCGAAAGCCUGAUCCAGCCAUUCCGCGUGAGUGAAGAAGGCCUUCGGUUGUAAGCUCUUCGGUCAGGAACGAAACGGA